Long non-coding RNA from Sander lucioperca (pikeperch), 660 nucleotides. RefSeq lists it as uncharacterized. The record is from RefSeq and is a predicted model, not a curated record. The transcript is spliced from 3 exons. NCBI's taxonomy places the organism in Eukaryota, Metazoa, Chordata, Actinopteri, Perciformes, Percidae.
UUUUUCGAGAAGUGCACGUCAGGCUACGACGUAGGGUCCGGCGUAGACGCUGAGGGGUCUGCGGGGGUACGCCGUCGAUUCUACGCAGAAGCAUAAAAAGGCCUUAAGGAGUGGGACUUCAUUCUCUGCUAAGGACGCCAUUACUCCCACUAUAUCUUCACAUAGCAAAUAUUUGUUUGCUGCUAUAUUAAUGGUCUGAAUGUCGAGUACAGCCCCUUUAAACUCCAUGUUGAUUUUAAGCUCAGCUCAGCUCAGCUUGCCCAUUGCAGCUCAGUUACACCAAUGGCUUGAAACAAGCAAAAUCAGUAAAGAAUGUUUGCAUGCUUGACCCUAAAUACAGCUGUUAGAAUGUAAUAGUUUUUGUAUAAACUUUAAAACAGAUCAAAGUCUAGCACUUUCAGUUUGAUGCUUAAGAACACAGUGAAUUUGCCUCUAUUUACUUCUAUAAGAAAUGUCACCAUUUGUGUAACUGGAAUGGAUAUAAUAAUACAUUGUGUAAAUGAGAGGCUCCUAGCCAAUAAACCAGUCCUCCAGUCUUGUAAAUAACAAUGGGAUCGGUUAAACAGUCCCAAGCAUAGUGCCUAAAUAAAAGGCAUGUUCCAUAGUAUGCCUUAUUUAAAAAAAGCCAAGUGUUUUAGCUUGUUUGUCAGUUGUGGAAUG